Molecule: ribosomal RNA, 253 nt
Filed under: uncultured microorganism
Description: partial 16S ribosomal RNA
Rfam family: Bacterial small subunit ribosomal RNA
Source: RNAcentral
UACGGAGGGGGCAAGCGUUGUUCGGAAUUACUGGGCGUAAAGCGCACGUAGGCGGUUUUGUAAGUCUGGGGUCAAAGGCGACAGCUCAACUGUCGUAAGGCCUUAGAUACUAUAGAACUGGAGUGCCAGAGAGGAUGGCGGAAUUCCCGGUGUAGCAGUGAAAUGCGUAGAGAUCAGGAGGAACACCGAUGGCGAAGGCAGCCCCCUGGGCCUGUACUGACGCUCAUGCACGAAAGCGUGGGGAGCAAACAGG